GGUCAAGCGAAUAAGCGCACAUGGUGGAUGCCUUGGCGGUCAGAGGCGAUGAAGGACGUGGUAGCCUGCGAAAAGUGUCGGGGAGCUGGCAACAAGCUUUGAUCCGGCAAUAUCCGAAUGGGGGAACCCACUGUUUAGGCAGUAUCUUUGAGUAAAUUCAUAGCUCAAGGAGGCGAACCUGGUGAACUGAAAUAUCUAAGUAACCAGAGGAAAAGAAAUCAACAGAGAUUCCCUGAGUAGUGACGAGCGAACGGGGAUUAGCCCUUAAGCUAGUAUGGUUUUAGGAAAGCAAUCUGGGAAGGUUGGCCAUAGAAGGUGAUAGCCCUGUAUCCGAAAGGGCCGUACUAGUGAAGAUGAGUAGGACGGGGCACGUGAAACCUUGUCUGAAUAUGGGGGGUCCAUCCUCCAAGGCUAAAUACUCCUGACCGACCGA
Molecule: ribosomal RNA, 433 nt
Filed under: Xylella fastidiosa
Lineage: Bacteria; Pseudomonadati; Pseudomonadota; Gammaproteobacteria; Lysobacterales; Lysobacteraceae
Description: bacterial LSU rRNA
Rfam family: Bacterial large subunit ribosomal RNA
Source: RNAcentral